Long non-coding RNA from Pelmatolapia mariae (spotted tilapia), 447 nucleotides. RefSeq lists it as uncharacterized. Lineage: Eukaryota; Metazoa; Chordata; Actinopteri; Cichliformes; Cichlidae. The record is from RefSeq and is a predicted model, not a curated record. The transcript is spliced from 3 exons.
CAGAGCUGAGACACUCAGGACUGAACAGACUGCACAGUUUCUGUGACUGAGCCUCCAAAACAUCUUCUUUGAAACCACACAUGAUAGAAGGGCUUUAUAUUUGCAGCAGCACUACUAAAGUCGGCAGGAAUGUUGCUGCAGGAAAACAUCCCUGCAGAUCACCAUCAUUGUCAGACUGACUGUGCCUCCUCUGUGCAGUGUCAAGAUCCUCCCUAAAUGAGUGUCUAUCCUGCUUCUGUGCUGCUUGCCACACAUCAAACACUGGCCGGAUGACAGGGAGGAUCCACUCUGAAGUCACUGGACAUGAUGAGGAUCAUAUGGGACUUUAUAGUUUCACAGAAAUGUUGUGCUCUUUGAUUACAGGUUUUAAAUGGACAUAAUGACUGCCUCUCUCUGAUCUGACAGGCUAAAGGAUUGUUUUCAUUGUUAGUGCUCUGUACAGUGUAU